Actinia tenebrosa (Australian red waratah sea anemone) is the source of this 641-nucleotide long non-coding RNA. Lineage: Eukaryota; Metazoa; Cnidaria; Anthozoa; Actiniaria; Actiniidae. The record is from RefSeq and is a predicted model, not a curated record.
AAGAUUGCUAAAUAAAUAAUAUUAAUAAGCACCCAACAGCAAUUUAUGAAACAAUGGAUUGAAAACAUAGAAAAUAAUAAAUAGCAAAGGUUGUUUGCAACACUCUAACUAGCUCUUGGGUUACCUGUGCAUAAUUAACAUAACACAUGAUGGCGGACGAGUCAAGUGUUUACUGAAUGUCGGAGGAAAAUUUCAAAAUUAUAAAGAAAGUUUAGAAAGGUGGCACAGACAUGUUAAAUCAGCUAUCCUCAGAACAGAUUACCUGGGCAAAAACCAAGUGUAUUCGUCCCUYCAGUCUGAGCGGUAACGAUGAUUUUGAUAAAUAUGCUGAUUACAUUGUGCAAAGCCAUGGAUUUGCAGUACCAGUUUCUUGGCAGGGUGCUCUUAAACUUUACUUCUUUCUUAAGUCCGUUGCAGCACGAUAAGAAAAGCAGGUAUAUAUAGCUUAAUUAAGUCGAUGCAACUUAAWUAAGGAACUUAUGUGAGAGGAUUCAAAACAAGGUGUUUGGCUUUGUUAUUUAUAGGCACAAUAUUGUGCCUUCAAUAAGACAUUAUUUUACUAUAUAAAAAAAUUGUUGUGUUUGUUUGAAGGUGUGUAUUUUUUGUGCUGCUUGUUUAGAAAAUAAACACUAUGAAAUCCC